CGGUAGACGUUAACCUGUCCGUUAGGGAAGGUAGGGGGAAAUUAACGAGGUUAGGAAACAGCUGACUAAUACCGCAUAAUAUGUCUGUGUCGCAUGGCACUGGGCAUCAAAGAUUUUAUCGCUCUGAGAUGGACUCGCGUCUGAUUAGCUAGUUGGCGGGGUAACGGCCCACCAAGGCGACGAUCAGUAGCCGGACUGAGAGGUUGGCCGGCCACAUUGGGACUGAGACACGGCCCAGACUCCUACGGGAGGCAGCAG
RNAcentral lists this ribosomal RNA (258 nucleotides) under uncultured bacterium. RNAcentral's name for it is "partial 16S ribosomal RNA". It matches the Rfam family "Bacterial small subunit ribosomal RNA", at positions 109 to 354 of the family's 1533-position model. The record is from RNAcentral.